This 343-nucleotide unclassified non-coding RNA is filed under the name soil metagenome. RNAcentral describes it as "partial contains 5.8S ribosomal RNA, internal transcribed spacer 2, and large subunit ribosomal RNA". The stretch from base 1 to 120 matches the Rfam family "5.8S ribosomal RNA", at positions 35 to 154 of the family's 154-position model. The record is from RNAcentral.
GAUGAAGAACGCAGCGAAAUGCGAUAAGUAAUGUGAAUUGCAGAAUUCAGUGAAUCAUCGAAUCUUUGAACGCAUAUUGCGCCCGCCAGCAUUCUGGCGGGCAUGCCUGUUCGAGCGUCAUUUCAACCCUCGACUUCCCUUUGGGGAAGUCGGCGUUGGGGACCGGCCGUAUACCGCCGGCCCCGAAAUGAAGUGGCGGCCCGUCCGCGGCGACCUCUGCGUAGUAAUCCAACUCGCACCGGAACCCCGACGUGGCCACGCCGUAAAACCCCCGACUUCUGAACGUUGACCUCGGAUCAGGUAGGAAUACCCGCUGAACUUAAGCAUAUCAAUAAGCGGAGGA